GGGCAUGUGCACGCUCUGUUUGUGCAUCCACUCACACCUGUGCACCUUCUGUAGUUCUGUGGCCUGGGGGACUCGUCCUCCUGCUGCGGUUCUGCGUUUUUACACUCACGCUGUGAUAAAGUCUAAUCGAAUGCAUGCCGCGUUUAACGCAAUACAAUACAACUUUCAGCAACGGAUCUCUUGGCUCUCGCAUCGAUGAAGAACGCAGCGAAAUGCGAUAAGUAAUGUGAAUUGCAGAAUUCAGUGAAUCAUCGAAUCUUUGAACGCACCUUGCGCCCUUUGGCUAUUCCGAAGGGCAUGCCUGUUUGAGUAUCAUGAACAUCUCAACUCCUCGCGGUUCGCCCGUGAUGAGCUUGGACUUUGGGGGUCUUGCCGGCCUGCAGGUCGGCUCCUCUCAAAUAAAUCAGCUUGCCGGUGUUUGGUGGCGUCACAGGUGUGAUAACUAUCUACGCUUGUGGUUCUCCGCCAGGUAGCCUCCAGCAAUGGGGGUUCACUGGAGCUCACAAAUGUCUCUCCUCGGUGAGGACCUCUUUGAACGUUUGAUCUCAAAUCAGGCAGGACUACCCGCUGAACUUAAGCAUA
This 582-nucleotide ribosomal RNA is filed under the name uncultured Tomentella. RNAcentral describes it as "eukaryotic LSU rRNA". The stretch from base 161 to 315 matches the Rfam family "5.8S ribosomal RNA". The record is from RNAcentral. Lineage: Eukaryota; Fungi; Basidiomycota; Agaricomycetes; Thelephorales; Thelephoraceae.